AACGAACGCUGGCGGCAUGCCUAACACAUGCAAGUCGAACGAGACCUUCGGGUCUAGUGGCGCACGGGUGCGUAACGCGUGGGAACCUGCCCUUAGGUUCGGAAUAACUCCCCGAAAGGGGUGCUAAUACCGGAUAAUGUCUUCGGACCAAAGAUUUAUCGCCUUUGGAUGGGCCCGCGUUGGAUUAGCUAGUUGGUAGGGUAAAAGCCUACCAAGGCGACGAUCCAUAGCUGGUCUGAGAGGAUGAUCAGCCACACUGGGACUGAGACACGGCCCAGACUCCUACGGGAGGAAGCAGUGGGGAAUAUUGGACAAUGGGCGAAAGCCUGAUCCAGCAAUGCCGCGUGAGUGAUGAAGGCCUUAGGGUUGUAAAGCUCUUUUACCCGGGAUGACAAUGACAGUACCGGGAGAAUAAGCUCCGGCUAACUCCGUG
This 433-nucleotide ribosomal RNA is filed under the name uncultured bacterium. Its description in RNAcentral is "partial 16S ribosomal RNA". It matches the Rfam family "Bacterial small subunit ribosomal RNA", at positions 29 to 507 of the family's 1533-position model. The record is from RNAcentral.